ACUACAAACCGUGCUAUCGCUUCCGCCGAAAGGAGGAUGAGGAAAGUCCGGACAGCAUAGAGCAACGCACCACCUAACGGGUGGGGCUGUUCUUUUCUCCGUUAAAAGAGCGAAGAAUGGCACAGAUAGUGCCACAGAAAAUGACCGCCUUAUUCCGCGCAAGCGGUAUCAGGUAAGGGUGAAAAUGUGGGGUAAGAGCCCACGUCUGGGUAUGGUAACAGACCUGGAGGGUAAACCUUGCGUGCUGAAAUGCCAUGUAUACGGUCGCUUAAGGGCUGCUCGUCCAAUGACCGAGGGUAGGCAGAUACAGGUGUCGUGUGAACGGCAUCGAAGAUAAAUGAUAGCAUCCGCCGCAAGGCGGAACAGAAUCCGGCUUACAGGUUUGUAGUUUUC
Molecule: RNase P RNA, 393 nt
Filed under: Chitinophaga filiformis
Lineage: Bacteria; Pseudomonadati; Bacteroidota; Chitinophagia; Chitinophagales; Chitinophagaceae
Description: Bacterial RNase P class A
Rfam family: Bacterial RNase P class A
About the family: Ribonuclease P (RNase P) is a ubiquitous endoribonuclease, found in archaea, bacteria and eukarya as well as chloroplasts and mitochondria. Its best characterised activity is the generation of mature 5'-ends of tRNAs by cleaving the 5'-leader elements of precursor-tRNAs.
Source: RNAcentral